CAAAAAAUCAAAAGCUGCAGUCUUCUAUAAUAACUUUCACGCUUCUGUUACAUAACCUGUUGGUUUUACACUAAUUAAUUUAAUCGUGAAGCCCAUUCCUCUGUCUAAUGUCUCCUUUCUUCUCCUGUUAAGUUCCUACAGAGCUCACUGUGUUCUGUGGAACGUCUGGAAUGCUGUGCUUUUUCUGCCCAGCUUCAGCUCUCAGCACAGGUGGAAGCUAAGAGCUGCGGGGCCACCAGUCUCAGCAUGGACAGAAUUACAGCCGUUUCCAUAGAGAUCUGUCACCACAACUAAUGGUAUCACUUCUAUAGGAUUGCUGCUCAUUGUGUAGUUCAGAGCACAAAGAAUAUCUCAGGAUUACAAACUUCAGCUUUGACGACUCCUUUUGCCGGUGUACGUAAGAGGAGCGGACCAGGUCACUGUGUUUACAGGAUUUACCCCGUUACUUGGCUCGUUUCAGCACCGAGGAUUGAACUGAGCCUUAGCCCUGGCUUCACGGGCUGCCCUUGUCCUGGUGGGUCACUCAGUCGGACUGAUGUGGAAUGCAACCUCUAGUGACCCCCUCCCAGAGGUCUCCAUUCAGUGAGCAGCACCAGAAAGAGUGGGGAUAAAAGACAAGAGGACCUGAAACAAAAAAGAGAGAAGGAGCAGCAGCAGCAGGAGCGUUCAGCCGGGUUGGAAAGUUAAAGGGGGCGAGGAGCUUAAAAUCCCUGGUAAAAGAAAGAGUGGAAAGCGUGAGUAUAAAAGACAUUUUUGCUGCUUUUCUGGACAUUUAAAAGCUCAAAGGGGGACUGACAAGCCUCAGCUCCAGCUACAC
RNAcentral lists this long non-coding RNA (817 nucleotides) under Astyanax mexicanus (Mexican tetra). Its description in RNAcentral is "lncRNA (ENSAMXG00005023402.1)". Lineage: Eukaryota; Metazoa; Chordata; Actinopteri; Characiformes; Acestrorhamphidae. The record is from RNAcentral.